This 254-nucleotide ribosomal RNA is filed under the name uncultured bacterium. Its description in RNAcentral is "partial 16S ribosomal RNA". It matches the Rfam family "Bacterial small subunit ribosomal RNA", at positions 524 to 776 of the family's 1533-position model. The record is from RNAcentral.
UACGUAGGGCGCAAGCGUUGUCCGGAAUUAUUGGGCGUAAAGAGCUUGUAGGCGGUUUGUCGCGUCUGCUGUGAAAUUUCGGGGCUCAACCCCGAACUUGCAGUGGGUACGGGCAGACUAGAGUGCGGUAGGGGUGACUGGAAUUCCUGGUGUAGCGGUGGAAUGCGCAGAUAUCAGGAGGAACACCGAUGGCGAAGGCAGGUCACUGGGCCGCAACUGACGCUGGAGGAGCGAAAGCAUGGGGAGCGAACAGG